RNAcentral lists this ribosomal RNA (253 nucleotides) under uncultured bacterium. Its description in RNAcentral is "partial 16S ribosomal RNA". It matches the Rfam family "Bacterial small subunit ribosomal RNA", at positions 524 to 776 of the family's 1533-position model. The record is from RNAcentral.
UACGGAGGGGGCUAGCGUUGUUCGGAAUCAUUGGGCGUAAAGGGCGCGUAGGCGGCCGAUCAAGUCGGGGGUGAAAUCCCUCGGCUCAACUGAGGAAUUGCCUUCGAUACUGUUCGGCUUGAGUCCUGGAGAGGGUAGCGGAAUUCCCGGUGUAGCGGUGAAAUGCGUAGAGACCGGGAAGAACACCAGUGGCGAAGGCGGCUACCUGGACAGGUACUGACGCUGAAGCGCGAAAGCUAGGGGAGCAAACAGG